RNAcentral lists this ribosomal RNA (253 nucleotides) under uncultured bacterium. RNAcentral's name for it is "partial 16S ribosomal RNA". It matches the Rfam family "Bacterial small subunit ribosomal RNA", at positions 524 to 776 of the family's 1533-position model. The record is from RNAcentral.
UACGGAGGGGGUUAGCGUUGUUCGGAAUGACUGGGCGUAAAGCGCGCGUAGGCGGAUCGCAGAGUUGGGGGUGAAAGCCCAGGGCUCAACCCUGGAACUGCCUUCAAGACUCGCGGUCUGGAGUUCGGGAGAGGUGGGUGGAAUUCCGAGUGUAGAGGUGAAAUUCGUAGAUAUUCGGAGGAACACCAGUGGCGAAGGCGGCCCACUGGCUCGGCACUGACGCUGAGGCGCGAAAGCGCGGGGAGCAAACAGG